Molecule: ribosomal RNA, 427 nt
Filed under: uncultured soil bacterium
Lineage: Bacteria
Description: bacterial SSU rRNA
Rfam family: Bacterial small subunit ribosomal RNA
Source: RNAcentral
AGAACGAACGCUGGCGGCAUGCCUAACACAUGCAAGUCGAACGGAUUGUAGCAAUACAAUCAGUGGCGAACGGGUGAAUAACGCGUGGGAACCUACCUCGGAGUUCGGAAUAACCGCGGGAAACUGCGGCUAAUACCGGAUACGGCCUGGAGGGCGAAAGGAGCAAUUCGCUCCGGGAGGGCCCGCGUCCGAUUAGCUAGUUGGUGGGUAAUGGCCUACCAAGGCGAUGAUCGGUAGCUGGUCUGAGAGGAUGAUCAGCCACACUGGAACUGAGACACGGUCCAGACUCCGUACGGGAGGCAGCAGGUGGGGAAUAGUUAGGACAAGUGGGGGCCAACCCUGACUCCAGCAAGUGCCGGCGUGGGUGAUGGAAGGUCCGUUUAGGGUUACGUAAAGUCCCGUUUUAGGGCCGGGGAAGUAGUAAAGU